UGGAAAUGAAAUGUUGAGUUAUGGUUAUGACCACUGUUGUUAAAAAUUAAAAGCUCAAGGGUGGCCAACUGCCAAGGACUUUUGGGGCCUGGGUAUAGUGUGCAGCAUGAACAAGUGCAUACUUAUCAAAAGAAUAAGAAAGAAACUAUUUCUUGUGCUUUAGUAAAAUGCGCCUCCUCACUUUACACCUUCCUCUUGCUCCUUCACAUUGUGUGAUUUAAGCAGGCCUGGCUGUGCUUUUAAUAACAUUGG
Molecule: unclassified non-coding RNA, 252 nt
Filed under: Hevea brasiliensis (rubber tree)
Lineage: Eukaryota; Viridiplantae; Streptophyta; Magnoliopsida; Malpighiales; Euphorbiaceae
Source: RNAcentral